Molecule: small nucleolar RNA, 132 nt
Organism: Sorex fumeus (smoky shrew)
Lineage: Eukaryota; Metazoa; Chordata; Mammalia; Eulipotyphla; Soricidae
Product: small nucleolar RNA SNORA70
Exons: 1
Source: RefSeq, a predicted model, not a curated record
CUGUAGUCAAUUUAAGACAACUGUGCUUUUCCCUUGAAGGGUGAACCCUGUGUGCAAUGCCUGCAGACAACAGGUAGUUUUUCUGCUGCCUCUUGUCUGUGUGGGCUGUCCUAAGGGUCCUUGGAGACAGAC